UAAGAAUCCCGACAAGGGAGGAUUAUAUCAACUCAAGCAGCCAAUAAUCAACAAUAACGGCUACAAGUAUAUCAAGUAUAUUAAGGAACAUGCCGUAAGUAGGGAAUAGCCUUAACAUACCUUUUUCGCUAAAUUCACGUGGCCUAAAGACUUUAACUCAUAACUCCCUCGAUACUACAACAAGGUAGGACCAUAAUCAACACAUAAAAUAAAAGAUACCAUGACAAUACAAUAAAAGAUAUGUAUUUCCGUCGCAAAUUGCUAUUUGCUGCUUAUAAAAGCUAGAGUCGAUGAAAGAAGGGUCUUACCUCGAUCUUAGGUUCG
Molecule: long non-coding RNA, 324 nt
Filed under: Solanum tuberosum (potato)
Lineage: Eukaryota; Viridiplantae; Streptophyta; Magnoliopsida; Solanales; Solanaceae
Description: long non-coding RNA (STUB_LNC009200)
Source: RNAcentral